RNAcentral lists this non-coding RNA (30 nucleotides) under Mus musculus (house mouse). The record is from RNAcentral. Lineage: Eukaryota; Metazoa; Chordata; Mammalia; Rodentia; Muridae.
UGUGCUACAUGUCUGGAGAGAGCCAGAUAU